This 454-nucleotide ribosomal RNA is filed under the name uncultured bacterium. Its description in RNAcentral is "bacterial SSU rRNA". It matches the Rfam family "Bacterial small subunit ribosomal RNA", at positions 28 to 507 of the family's 1533-position model. The record is from RNAcentral.
GAUGAACGCUGGCGGCGUGCCUAACACAUGCAAGUCGAGCGAUUCUCUUCGGAGAAGAGCGGCGGACGGGUGAGUAACGCGUGGGUAACCUGCCCUGUACACACGGAUAACAUACCGAAAGGUAUGCUAAUACGAGAUAAUAUGCUUUUAUCGCAUGGUAGAAGUAUCAAAGCUUUUGCGGUACAGGAUGGACCCGCGUCUGAUUAGCUAGUUGGUAAGGUAACGGCUUACCAAGGCGACGAUCAGUAGCCGACCUGAGAGGGUGAUCGGCCACAUUGGAACUGAGACACGGUCCAAACUCCUACGGGAGGCAGCAGUGGGGAAUAUUGCACAAUGGGCGAAAGCCUGAUGCAGCAACGCCGCGUGAGCGAUGAAGGCCUUCGGUCGUAAAGCUCUGUCCUCAAGGAAGAUAAUGACGGUACUUGAGGAGGGAAGCCCCGGCGUAACUAACGUG